GGACCUGACUGCUAUCGGAUUGAUACUAAGCCAUGCGAGUCGUUGUAGCAAUACAAGGCAUACGGCUCAGUAACGCGUAGUCAACCUAACCUAUGGACGGGAAUAACCUCGGGAAACUGAGAAUAAUGCCCGAUAGAACAUUAUGCCUGGAAUGGUUUAUGUUCCAAAUGAUUUAUCGCCAUAGGAUGGGACUGCGGCCUAUCAGUUUGUUGGUGAGGUAAUGGCCCACCAAGACUAUUACAGGUACGGGCUCUGAGAGGAGUAGCCCGGAGAUGGGUACUGAGACACGGACCCAGGCCCUAUGGGGCGCAGCAGGCGAGAAAACUUUGCAAUGUGCGAAAGCACGACAAGGUUAAUCCGAGUGAUUUCUGCUAAAGAGAUCUUUUGUUAGUCCUAGAAACACUAACGAAUAAGGGGUGGGCAAGUUCUGGUGUCAGCCGCCGCGGUAAAACCAGCACCUCAAGUGGUCAGGAUGAUUAUUGGGCCUAAAGCAUCCGUAGCCGGCUCUGUAAGUUUUCGGUUAAAUCUGUACGCUCAACGUACAGGCUGCCGGGAAUACUGCAGAACUAGGGAGUGGGAGAGGUAGACGGUACUCGGUAGGAAGUGGUAAAAUGCUUUGAUCUAUCGAUGACCACCUGUGGCGAAGGCGGUCUACCAGAACACGUCCGACGGUGAGGGAUGAAAGCUGGGGGAGCAAACCGGAUUAGAUACCCGGGUAGUCCCAGCUGUAAACUAUGCAAACUCAGUGAUGCAUUGGCUUGUGGCCAAUGCAGUGCUGCAGGGAAGCCGUUAAGUUUGCCGCCUGGGAAGUACGUACGCAAGUAUGAAACUUAAAGGAAUUGGCGGGGGAGCACCACAAGGGGUGAAGCCUGCGGUUCAAUUGGAUUCAACGCCGGG
Molecule: ribosomal RNA, 897 nt
Filed under: uncultured archaeon
Lineage: Archaea
Description: bacterial SSU rRNA
Rfam family: Archaeal small subunit ribosomal RNA
Source: RNAcentral